This 115-nucleotide ribosomal RNA is filed under the name Nannospalax galili (Upper Galilee mountains blind mole rat). The record is from RNAcentral. Lineage: Eukaryota; Metazoa; Chordata; Mammalia; Rodentia; Spalacidae.
GUCUAAGCCCAUACCUCCUUGGACAGGUCCAAUCAUAUCUGAUCUCAGAAGCUAAACAAGGGUCAGGCCUGGUUAGUACUUGGAUAGAAGUACACCAGUCCCAUUGGGUUGGGCC